AAUGAACGCUGGCGGCAUGCCUUACACAUGCAAGUCGAACGGCAGCAUGACCUAGCUUGCUAGGUUGAUGGCGAGUGGCGAACGGGUGAGUAAUGCAUCGGAACGUGCCUUUUAGUGGGGGAUAACGUAGUGAAAGUUACGCUAAUACCGCAUAUUCUCUGAGGAGGAAAGCAGGGGACCUUCGGGCCUUGCGCUAGAAGAGCGGCCGAUGUCGGAUUAGCUAGUUGGUGAGGUAAAGGCUCACCAAGGCAACGAUCCGUAGCGGGUCUGAGAGGAUGAUCCGCCACACUGGGACUGAGACACGGCCCAGACUCCUACGGGAGGCAGCAGUGGGGAAUUUUGGACAAUGGGCGCAAGCCUGAUCCAGCCAUGCCGCGUGAGUGAAGAAGGCCUUCGGGUUGUAAAGCUCUUUCGGCUGGGAAGAAAUCGCACCCUCUAAUACAGGGUGUGGAUGACGGUACCAGCAUAAGAAGCACCGGCUAACUACGUG
This 490-nucleotide ribosomal RNA is filed under the name uncultured bacterium. RNAcentral's name for it is "partial 16S ribosomal RNA". It matches the Rfam family "Bacterial small subunit ribosomal RNA", at positions 29 to 507 of the family's 1533-position model. The record is from RNAcentral.